AUGGCGAGCAGCGGGGGAGGCGCGGCUGCGGCGCGGAUGGACCCCGAGGCGGCGACGGAGCUGGCGCGGAAGGGGGUCACGCUGCUGCUCCUCGACGUGCCCCAGCACACCGUCCUCGGCCUCGACACGCAGGUGUUCUCGGUGGGCCCCAGGUUCAGAGGGAUCAAGAUGGUGCCGCCAGGCCCGCAUUUCCUCCACUACUGCUCCCCCAGCAGGCACGGGAAUGAGUUCGCGCCGACAGUCGGAUUCUUCCUUACUACUCACCCAUCUCAGGUGGUCGUUCGAAGAUGGCAUGCUCAAGAGGAGAGACUAGUGACACUGUCAGAAGAGGAGGAAAUCAGAUACUCUGAAGCAGUAAAACGUUUCGAGUUCGAUGAUCAGCUUGGGCCAUACAAUUUGGAUUCUUUUGGAGACUGGAAACAACUUUCAAGCUACUUGUCACACAGUGUCAUUGAACGCCUUGAGCCAAUUGGUGGAGAAAUUACAAUUGCAUUGGAGGCAUCAUGGAUGGAUAGAGCUCCCCAAACAGAUAUGGAGAGACGAUUGAUGGAACAACUUAGAGAAGACAAAUUUGCAAAGAAAGCCCCUGCACAGCCUGAGAGGAGAGGAUGCUAUUACACAACUAUUCCCGCUUCGGUUAAGCACAGAAACAUUUCUGCAGAUGAGCUGACUUUGCUGAACUUGGACAGAACAAGCUUGCUGGAGACUGUCCUGGCCAAAAGUUAUCAAGGCCAAGAAGAUUUACUCUUGGGGGAGCUGCAGUUCUCUUUCAUAGCGUUUAUGAUGGGACAGUCGCUGGAGGCGUUUAUGCAGUGGAAAGCAUUAGUCAGUCUUCUUUUGAGCUGCAGUGAAGCUCCACUUCAUACAAGGACGCAAAUGUUUGUAAAGUUUAUAAGGGUUAUUUACUAUCAAUUCAAGCAUGGCUUUCAACGCACACAUGAUUCCAGAAGUAGUGAAGACAAGGGCAACUCUUUGUUUCUGGAUGAAGCAUGGUUCUCAAGAGACAUAUUUCUUUACCGGCUUUCCAAGGAUUUCUUAGCGGUAAUAUUUGAAGCUCAAGUCGUGGAUGGAGACCUUCUGUCGUGGGCUAGGAAACUUAAGACGCUCUUGGAGACCACGUUCGGAUGGGAUCUCGAGAACAAUGCGGCGAACCUUAUCGAUGAGGACGACGAGUUUGCUCCGGUGGUCGUGGAAAUGGACGGCUCCUAG
RNAcentral lists this ribosomal RNA (1209 nucleotides) under Triticum aestivum (bread wheat). Its description in RNAcentral is "partial small subunit ribosomal RNA". Lineage: Eukaryota; Viridiplantae; Streptophyta; Magnoliopsida; Poales; Poaceae. The record is from RNAcentral.